This 525-nucleotide ribosomal RNA is filed under the name Lezina sp. MCJ-2002. Its description in RNAcentral is "partial 16S ribosomal RNA". It matches the Rfam family "Bacterial large subunit ribosomal RNA", at positions 1806 to 2610 of the family's 2925-position model. Lineage: Eukaryota; Metazoa; Arthropoda; Insecta; Orthoptera; Gryllacrididae. The record is from RNAcentral.
AUCAAAAACAUGUCUUUUUGAUUAUUUAGAAAGUCUGGCCUGCCCACUGGAGGUAUUAAAGGGCCGCGGUAUAUUGACCGUGCAAAGGUAGCAUAAUCAUUAGUCUUUUAAUUGGAGGCUGGGAUGAAUGGUUUAAUGAAGCAUUAACUGUCUCAUGAUAAUCUAUUGAAGUUCACUUUUUAGUAAGAAGGCUAAAAUAAGAUUAAAGGACGAGAAGACCCUAUAGAGCUUUAUAUUUACUUAAGUAGCUUGAAUUUAGGAAAUACUAAGGUUAUUUAAGAAAAAUAUUUAAUUGGGGUGAUUUAGAGAAAACAUUUUAUUUAAUGUGACAUAGAUUUAUGGGAGAAUGAUCCACUAAUAGUGAAUAGAAGACAUAGUUACCUUAGGGAUAACAGCGUAAUUUCUUUUAUGAGCUCAUAUCUACGAAGAAGUUUGCGACCUCGAUGUUGGAUUAAGGAUAUAGAUGGGUGCAGCCGUUCAUUAUAUAGGUCUGUUCGACCUUUAAAUCCUUACAUUGAUCUGAGU